RNAcentral lists this ribosomal RNA (206 nucleotides) under uncultured bacterium. Its description in RNAcentral is "partial 16S ribosomal RNA". It matches the Rfam family "Bacterial small subunit ribosomal RNA", at positions 568 to 774 of the family's 1533-position model. The record is from RNAcentral.
AGCGUAGACGGUGUGGCAAGUCUGAUGUGAAAGGCAUGGGCUCAACCUGUGGACUGCAUUGGAAACUGUCAUACUUGAGUGCCGGAGGGGUAAGCGGAAUUCCUAGUGUAGCGGUGAAAUGCGUAGAUAUUAGGAGGAACACCAGUGGCGAAGGCGGCUUACUGGACGGUAACUGACGUUGAGGCUCGAAAGCGUGGGAGCAAACA